UGACACCAGACACUACAACUCAACGGUUUAUCUGCGUCAGAGGAGAACCUACAACACACGUUGUCACUUUGGGGAGAUCUCCAGCACACACACACACACACGCACGCACACACACACACACACACACACACACACACACACACACACACGGGGGGGGGGGAUCAGAUGGCGUCUCCUGCUCUGGCUGAUGUAGCGUUAGAAGGAGGCCGAGUGGAGCUGUAAAAAGCAGAGACUUGAUCUGGAGUCUGACAGGUGUUCUCCGUCAGAGCGCUAGGCCUCGUCGCACACGGCCGGCGAGUCGUGUAAAGACCGCGUGCGUCACUUCCUCACGUGGUUGUCAUUCCACUCCGUCAGCCUGGAUCAACAAUAAACAUGAAGCUCUGCUCUGAGCUUCUGUCAACACAAGCCUUUUCCCAUCAUUCCUCGCUGGACUCCCUGGCACCAGAGUCUGGCGCUGGAGGAAGAUCUACAUCCAAGAUAUGGAGCCGGAUAAAACCCCACCCAGGAGGUCUGGAAUACACACACACACACAUGACAUCCUCUGAGCUAAUCAUUGUGUGCAAACACCACAACACAAACAUCCACAGGACAGGAGGACUCCAGCUGCUUUUACAGCUCGCACACAGCCGCCAUGUCUCACACUUCUCUUCUCACAUAUCACCUUCCAUGAUCAACAAUGAUUAGGAUCGGUCAGGGAGAACUGUAAGAAAUAAAUAAAGAAAAUGAAUAAAUCUUUGUUCCUUG
Molecule: long non-coding RNA, 744 nt
Filed under: Gouania willdenowi (blunt-snouted clingfish)
Lineage: Eukaryota; Metazoa; Chordata; Actinopteri; Blenniiformes; Gobiesocidae
Description: lncRNA (ENSGWIG00000011978.1)
Source: RNAcentral